GACGAACGCUGGCGGCGUGCUUAACACAUGCAAGUCGAACGGAAAGGCCCUGCUUUUGUGGGGUGCUCGAGUGGCGAACGGGUGAGUAACACGUGAGUAACCUGCCCUUGACUUUGGGAUAACUUCAGGAAACUGGGGCUAAUACCGGAUAGGAGCUCCUGCUGCAUGGUGGGGGUUGGAAAGUUUCGGCGGUUGGGGAUGGACUCGCGGCUUAUCAGCUUGUUGGUGGGGUAGUGGCUUACCAAGGCUUUGACGGGUAGCCGGCCUGAGAGGGUGACCGGGCACAAUGGGCCUGAGAUACGGCCCAGACUCCUACGGGAGGCAGCAGUGGGGAAUAUUGCACAAUGGGCGGAAGCCUGAUGCAGCAACGCCGCGUGCGGGAUGACGGCCUUCGGGUUGUAAACCGCUUUCGCCUGUGACGAAGCGUGAGUGACGGUAAUGGGUAAAGAAGCACCGGCUAACUACGUG
Molecule: ribosomal RNA, 468 nt
Filed under: uncultured bacterium
Lineage: Bacteria
Description: partial 16S ribosomal RNA
Rfam family: Bacterial small subunit ribosomal RNA
Source: RNAcentral